CACUAGGUCACAGUGGAGCGCACUCACUCACCACCAUGGUGGGGAGGUUUGGGAGGACAGUGGCCCACAGCAGGGCAUACUCACUCACUGCUGUGGUGGGGAGGUUUGCAGGGGCAGUGGGUCACAGCAGGGCACGCUCACACACCAUUGUGAUGGGGCGAUUUGGAGGGGCAGGGGGAGGCUGGGGGAGCAGAGGGUGUGACGAAGUGGGGACUUUCCCUUGUUAUGUUGUAUGUGAGUCUUACUGUUGAGCCUGUCAGUUUUACUGUUUUGCAUGAAUACUGUGUGUGCCUCAGUUUCCCUGGGUGCUGCAUGAAUACCUCAGUGGUGGGAAUAGGGGUGUGUGACUUUGGCUGAGACCUCUGGGGCAGCUGAAGCUGCUCCAACUGCUUGCACAUGUGCUAUGACUGGUGCCCUUCGUAACCUGAGACCCUGGAUGGGGAUGCAACCAAGUGUCUUAGGUGCAGGAGCUGGGGUGGGGGUCGGUCGGAGGUCAGGAGCUGGAAGCUGAGAGUCUGCUUGGGGGGACUGGAAGAGGAGGAGUCCAGGGCUUCUGGCCCACGACUCCCAAAGCUGGACUUGGCUGAAAGUCACUGAUUUCUGUGAUAGCAAGCUCUGUUCUAUGCUGUGUUCCUGUCGACUAAUAAACCUUCUGAUUUACCAGCUGGCUGAGAGUCAUGUCUGACUGCGGAGUUGGGGUGCAGGGCCCGCUGGCUUCCCCAGGAGCCCUGCCCGGGCAGACUCGCUGCGGGAAGUGCACAGUGAGGAAGGGGAUGCUGAUUACUCCGAGGUCAGACCCAGGAAGGUGGAAGCUGUGUAAGCUUCUUGCCCUGGAGACAGUAUGCUCAGAGAGAGGAUGCUCCCCCAGAGUCCUGGCUGGCUUCAUCCGGAGCAGUUCCAGAUCAUCGGCCAGUGACUCCGUGACAAUGGGGAGGUUUGGGCGGCAGUGGGUCACAGCAGGGCACGCUCACUCACCGCCGUGGUGGGGAGGCAAUGAGGAGGUUUGGAGGGGCAGUGGGUCACAGCGGGGCACACUCACUGCCGUGAUGCUGAGGUUUGAGGGGCAGUGGGUCACAGCUGGGCACACUCACUGCCGUGAUGCUGAGGUUUGAGGGGCAGUGGGUCACAGCGGGGCACACUCACUGCCGUGAUGCUGAGGUUUGAGGGGCAGUGGGUCACAGCUGGGCACACUCACUGCCGUGAUGCUGAGGUUUGAGGGGCAGUGGGUCACAGCUGGGCACACUCACUGCCGUGAUGCUGAGGUUUGAGGGGCAGUGGGUCACAGCGGGGCACACUCACUGCCGUGAUGCUGAGGUUUGAGGGGCAGUGGGUCACAGCGGGGCACACUCACUGCCGUGAUGCUGAGGUUUGAGGGGCAGUGGGUCACAGCGGGGCACACUCACUGCUGUGAUGCUGAGGUUUGAGGGGCAGUGGGUCACAGCGGGGCACACUCACUGCCGUGAUGCUGAGGUUUGAGGGGCAGUGGGUCACAGCGGGGUACACUCACUGCCGUGAUGCUGAGGUUUGAGGGGCAGUGGGUCACAGCGGGGCACACU
Molecule: long non-coding RNA, 1556 nt
Organism: Gopherus flavomarginatus (Mexican gopher tortoise)
Lineage: Eukaryota; Metazoa; Chordata; Testudines; Testudinidae
Exons: 4
Source: RefSeq, a predicted model, not a curated record